Molecule: long non-coding RNA, 321 nt
Filed under: Ananas comosus (pineapple)
Lineage: Eukaryota; Viridiplantae; Streptophyta; Magnoliopsida; Poales; Bromeliaceae
Description: long non-coding RNA (ACOM_LNC015512)
Source: RNAcentral
CCGGAGGCAGAAGGGUUCUCCACCUCCCGCACUAUUUCUUGUCGGGGCGGGACAGAUUCGAAGCAGGUUAUAUUUUAUUUUAUUUUUAUCUCCCACUUACCGCUUUAUUCGGGACAGGAGCGGAUUUUUGACGAAUUUUUAACCGAUCGGGACGGAUUAAAGGAAGAAAAGGAUUUACCGUCUGCCGCUCUAUUUAUUUAACGGAUCGGAAUAAAUUCGGGACAGAGUUAUAUUUUUCUAUAAUUUUAAUUUUCACUUACCAUCUCAUUCGGAGCGGAUUGGAGCGGGAGCUCCGCUAACUGAGAUCCAUUUGCAUCCCUA